RNAcentral lists this ribosomal RNA (465 nucleotides) under Vreelandella stevensii. RNAcentral describes it as "partial 16S ribosomal RNA". It matches the Rfam family "Bacterial small subunit ribosomal RNA", at positions 338 to 795 of the family's 1533-position model. Lineage: Bacteria; Pseudomonadati; Pseudomonadota; Gammaproteobacteria; Oceanospirillales; Halomonadaceae. The record is from RNAcentral.
CCUACGGGGGGCUGCAGUGGGGAAUAUUGGACAAUGGGGGGAACCCUGAUCCAGCCAUGCCGCGUGUGUGAAGAAGGCCCUCGGGUUGUAAAGCACUUUCAGUGAGGAAGAACGCCUGGUGGUUAAUACCCAUCAGGAAAGACAUCACUCACAGAAGAAGCACCGGCUAACUCCGUGCCAGCAGCCGCGGUAAUACGGAGGGUGCGAGCGUUAAUCGGAAUUACUGGGCGUAAAGCGCGCGUAGGUGGCUUGAUAAGCCGGUUGUGAAAGCCCCGGGCUCAACCUGGGAACGGCAUCCGGAGCUGUCAAGCUAGAGUGCAGGAGAGGAAGGUAGAAUUCCCGGUGUAGCGGUGAAAUGCGUAGAGAUCGGGAGGAAUACCAGUGGCGAAGGCGGCCUUCUGGACUGACACUGACACUGAGGUGCGAAAGCGUGGGUAGCAAACAGGAUUAGAUACCCUGGUAGUC